Small nucleolar RNA from Lycium ferocissimum, 106 nucleotides. Lineage: Eukaryota; Viridiplantae; Streptophyta; Magnoliopsida; Solanales; Solanaceae. The record is from RefSeq and is a predicted model, not a curated record.
AAAUCAUGAUUUGGGGACUUUUGAAAAUACUCCUUGAAUCUCUCACAAGCUUCAUAUAAUUACUCCCCCGGAAGCUGUUUGAAUUUAUAGAUCUUAUCACGAAUUU